Molecule: RNA transcript, 1467 nt
Organism: Anarrhichthys ocellatus (wolf-eel)
Lineage: Eukaryota; Metazoa; Chordata; Actinopteri; Perciformes; Anarhichadidae
Gene name: breast cancer metastasis-suppressor 1-like protein-A
Exons: 10
Source: RefSeq, a predicted model, not a curated record
AUGCCGGUUCACUCUCGGGAGAAGAAAGAAAGUAACCACGAAGAAAUGGAGGUGGAUUUUCCCGAGCAGGACGGCAGCAGCACAGACGAGGAGGACACUGUUAGCUCGUCCGUGUCUGAAGAUGGAGACAGCUCGGAGAUGGAUGAUGAGGACUGUGAGAGGAGGAGGAUGGAGUGCCUAGAUGAGAUGACCACUCUGGAGAAACAGUUCACCGACCUGAAGGAGCAGUUGUACAAGGAGCGUCUGAGCCAGGUGGACAUCAAGCUGCAGGAGGUGAUGGCUGGCUGUGCCCAGGAGUACCUGGAACCUUUGGCCAACCUGCAGGAGAACAUGCAGAUCAGGACCAAAGUAGCCGGGAUCUACAGGGAGCUGUGCUUGGAGUCUGUGAAGAACAAGUACGAGUGUGAGAUCCAGGCUGCCUGCCAACACUGGGAGAGUGAGAAGCUGCUGCUGUUUGACACUGUGCAGAGUGAACUGGAGGAGAAGAUAAGAAGAUUGGAGGAAGACAGACACAGUAUUGACAUUACCUCAGAGUUGUGGAAUGAUGGAUUGCACUCACGGAAAAACAAGAAGAAAGACCCAUUCUGCCCCGUCAAGAAGAAGAAGCCCGUCGUUGUCUCUGGGCCUUAUAUCGUUUAUAUGCUGCAGGACCUUGAUAUUCUGGAAGACUGGACCGCGAUAAGAAAGUUGUGUCUGUUCCCCUCUCCCCCACAGGCGAUGGCAUCGCUGGGGCCACACAGGGUGAAGGUGGAUGUCCCUGCAGUCAAGCCUGACCGACAUCAACACGUGGCGCACCUCGAGGAUGGACGGCUUUUCUACGACAACCAGUGGUACUGCAGGGGACAGGCCAUCUGCAUCAACAGGAAGGACGAGUACCCGGCUAGGUGUGUUUGUGUGUGAGCAGGGUUUAUGGUAUGAUGUUGAUUAAAGCACCUGUCGGUUCUGAUGCUAAAAGGUGUGUGCACUCGUCUGUAAAAGUGAGUGUGAGUCUGGGUCACGUGGUGGAUUGGUUGGUAAUGGAAAUGACAAAGACUGUGAGUAUUAGGCUGAAUGAUUGUGGAUCCACAUUCUGCCCUGUGUGUCAGUGAAUAGAGAGAAUGUAUUGAUGUUUCCACAGCACCGCUGAGUGGAGACGACAGGUGGCUGCUAUGAACGGGUAGAGCUGGACAUCCAUGCAGCAGAGCACACCACACAGCCGGUGGACAUUAACAUGUAGCCAGGAAUGAAGUUGUCCUGCACCAGAUCUCACCUUAACUGAACACCUCUGGAGGAUGCAAUCAUCAAAACACCAAAAGAGGAAUAAAGUGUAUUAAUGCGGUUCAUCCCAUCAGAGAGACACUGUGCUACGGAGCACCAGGGGCCAGAUGCUUAGAACUCUGUCGCCAUCAUCACCACCAUCAACAACGACGAGGUGUGGUUCAAACGACUGGACGGCACCAAGUCCAAGCUGUACAUCUCCCAGCUGCA